CCUGUCUCGUUCGUGCACAGCAAAGUCCGGUCAUGGCUAUCCGCCAGCGCCUGAGGAAAAUGAAGCCUAUACCUAUCCACUUAUCAGUGAUCACAUUCCAUCUCCAAAAGGACUGCAUUGCCACUUAAGGUUAACGUACUGCGAUAGCCUUGCAAACAAAGUAAAACCCCAAACAAAAUUAUCGACGCCAUAAAAAUAUUUUAGUAGUACGAAUCAACAACCGACACAAGUUAAGUUGCGGAAUAACUGUACAUUGCAAAACAUAAUAAGGACGAAUAAGGACAAGUUAAUCCAUAAGAAUUAGAGCAGCUGAUUGGUGACGUCCGAGGCAGAUUCGGUGACGGAAUCAUUAUGCAGACGGCAUUCAACUUUACAUAGACACUUUCUAACGCCGACUCCGACUGGCCAGCUGCUGGUUCCAAGUGAAGAAUAAAUAAGUCUUUGUCUGUCUUUAUUUCGUUGUGUUGGCGAACGUCGGAUCAAAGAUUGGGAAACCGGGAACAAAUUUACACAGGAUUUACACAAUUGCUUCGGUGUUGGAAGUGAUUAGAGCAGCGUUGGCCACGAUGUAUCGCCGACAAGUAAAUCACGACCAAGAUCACAUAGAACGAUUUGGCCCAGUGGUGGCUGAAUUUUUAUUCAGACGGACGAGUUGCAGUCUAGUGACAUUGGAUCGAACAAUACGCAUCAUAAGAAUUAUCUAUUAGCGUGUCUCGGUCGUUUCCGCUGAUACUGUGCCAAUCCUAUGCCGGCUGGUGUUGUGAACGAUGAAACAAUGACAUGGAUGAAGAAACCUCGUUGCGGACUUCCACGAGGUUCUUCCACUUGACGGAAGCGCAACAUUGUUAUACAAAAUACUUGCAGUCGUUGGCAUGGAAUCGAACAAUACGCAUUAUUAUAAGAGUGAUGCUAUGUAAAAUUACUUCGACUCCAAAAUAAUUUCAUCAGUUGUCUGUGCUAGAAUCGAACGAUCUUGCUGCCCAGCAAAUAGCGAUAUGUCGUCUGCCAGUCUGCCACAACUCACAAGCGCCUCGUUGGAGUUAAGUAAUAGUUUCCUAAAGUAAAUAAUCCAUCUACAUAAUUCUGGUUUUGUGAAAAAGAUCAAAAACGUGUACUUUCCUUCGUGUAUUAUUGUUGUAUUCCUAGUUUGAUUCAACAUUGCUGCUCAGGCUGAUUCCACAAUCAACCUCAAAGUUUAUUUUAUUUAGAUUUUCCAGAUUUGCACAUCAUCCAAUUAAAGAAACGAUUGCUGGAGUAAGGGUUUUAUGAUCCAUGAAAUGUAAACCAAAUCAAGC
Long non-coding RNA from Daphnia pulex (common water flea), 1295 nucleotides. RefSeq lists it as uncharacterized. The transcript has 5 exons. The record is from RefSeq and is a predicted model, not a curated record. NCBI's taxonomy places the organism in Eukaryota, Metazoa, Arthropoda, Branchiopoda, Diplostraca, Daphniidae.